GAUAAACGCUGGCGGCGUGCCUAACACAUGCAAGUCGAACGAUCCCGCAAGGGAGAGUGGCGGAAGGGUGAGUAACACGUGGGAAUCUACCUCCUCGCAGGGAACAACCUCUCGAAAGAGAGGCUAAUACCCAAAAGGGUCAGAAAUGAUCAGAGUCGAAAGGCGUGAGGAGAGGAGCCCGCGGCCCAUCAGCUAGUUGGUGAGGUAAUGGCUUACCAAGGCUACGACGGGUAGGGGAUCUGAGAGGAUGUCCCCCACACUGGAACUGAAACACGGUCCAGACGCCUACGGGUGGCAGCAGUGAGGAAUAUUGGACAAUGGGCGAAAGCCCGAUCCAGCAACGCCGCGUGGAGGAUGAAGGCCUUGGGUCGUAAACUUCUUUAGAGGAGACGAGAAAGGACGGUAUCCCUAGAAUAAGCGACGGCAAACUACGUGCCAGCAGCCGCGGUAAU
Molecule: ribosomal RNA, 452 nt
Filed under: uncultured bacterium
Lineage: Bacteria
Description: bacterial SSU rRNA
Rfam family: Bacterial small subunit ribosomal RNA
Source: RNAcentral